AGCGCAGGCGGGAAGGUAAGUCUAUCUUAAAAGUGCGGGGCUCAACCCCGUGAGGGGAUAGAAACUAUCAUUCUUGAGUGCAGGAGAGGAAAGCGGAAUUCCUAGUGUAGCGGUGAAAUGCGUAGAUAUCAGGAGGAACACCAGUGGCGAAGGCGGCUUUCUGGACUGUAACUGACGCUGAGGCUCGAAAGCCAGGGGAGCGAACGG
RNAcentral lists this ribosomal RNA (207 nucleotides) under uncultured bacterium. RNAcentral describes it as "partial 16S ribosomal RNA". It matches the Rfam family "Bacterial small subunit ribosomal RNA", at positions 568 to 775 of the family's 1533-position model. The record is from RNAcentral.